Gorilla gorilla gorilla (western lowland gorilla) is the source of this 82-nucleotide microRNA precursor. NCBI's taxonomy places the organism in Eukaryota, Metazoa, Chordata, Mammalia, Primates, Hominidae. The record is from Ensembl.
UUCAGAAAGGCCUUUUUGAACCUUCAGAAAGGCUGCUGAAUCUUCAGAAAGGCCUUUCCGAACCUUCAGAAAGGCUGCUGAA